Molecule: ribosomal RNA, 433 nt
Filed under: uncultured bacterium
Lineage: Bacteria
Description: partial 16S ribosomal RNA
Rfam family: Bacterial small subunit ribosomal RNA
Source: RNAcentral
AACGAACGCUGGCGGCAUGCCUAACACAUGCAAGUCGAACGAGACCUUCGGGUCUAGUGGCGCACGGGUGCGUAACGCGUGGGAACCUGCCCUUAGGUUCGGAAUAACUCCCCGAAAGGGGUGCUAAUACCGGAUAAUGUCUUCGGACCAAAGAUUUAUCGCCUUUGGAUGGGCCCGCGUUGGAUUAGCUAGUUGGUAGGGUAAAAGCCUACCAAGGCGACGAUCCAUAGCUGGUCUGAGAGGAUGAUCAGCCACACUGGGACUGAGACACGGCCCAGACUCCUACGGGAGGCAGCAGUAGGGAAUAUUGGGCAAUGGGCGAAAGCCUGAUCCAGCAAUGCCGCGUGAGUGAUGAAGGCCUUAGGGUUGUAAAGCUCUUUUACCCGGGAUGAUAAUGACAGUACCGGGAGAAUAAGCUCCGGCCAACUCCGUG